GGGGGAAUAUUGGGCAAUGGAGGAAACUCUGACCCAGCAACGCCGCGUGGAGGAAGAAGGUUUUCGGAUCGUAAACUCCUGUCCUUGGAGACGAGUAGAAGACGGUAUCCAAGGAGGAAGCCCCGGCUAACUACGUGCCAGCAGCCGCGGUAAUACGUAGGGGGCAAGCGUUGUCCGGAAUAAUUGGGCGUAAAGGGCGCGUAGGCGGCUCGGUAAGUCUGGAGUGAAAGUCCUGCUUUUAAGGUGGGAA
Molecule: ribosomal RNA, 250 nt
Filed under: uncultured bacterium
Lineage: Bacteria
Description: partial 16S ribosomal RNA
Rfam family: Bacterial small subunit ribosomal RNA
Source: RNAcentral